Molecule: long non-coding RNA, 385 nt
Filed under: Triticum aestivum (bread wheat)
Lineage: Eukaryota; Viridiplantae; Streptophyta; Magnoliopsida; Poales; Poaceae
Description: long non-coding RNA (TAES_LNC006585)
Source: RNAcentral
UACACUAUACACAAGCGAAUCAUGUUGUGUCAUUUACAUGACGGGUAAAUUAAAUGAACAUGUCUUGAUUAGGUAUGACAUACUUUGGACAAGGAAGAGACCUGCAGAUAAAUAACACAAUUAAACAAACAAGUACUGAAAUAUAAGUGUUCCGCAUUAAGCUUGCUAGUAAGGAAAAUAUCAGGAGAUGGCUUGCUAGCUUUCACCUCUAGAUCACCCCCAUGGCAACUUGAUACAUCAGAGCAAGAAAACAUUCCCCAAUGGUUACAAACCUUCGGUGCAAAAUGACAUUCAUGGGAUCUGAAGACAUCACUAAGAAAUAUCAGGUUCUAUAUGAGUCUGACUUAUUAAAGAACAGAGAACAAUGAAGAAAAGUGCAGUACAU